GUACUAAAAAGGCAAACUCUGCGAAAGCAGGGGACGCAAAGUCACUGAUCUAACGGGAAAAUCCCCAUGAUGGCAGGACUGCAGGU
Molecule: non-coding RNA, 86 nt
Filed under: Nitrosomonas sp. Nm166
Lineage: Bacteria; Pseudomonadati; Pseudomonadota; Betaproteobacteria; Nitrosomonadales; Nitrosomonadaceae
Description: c-di-GMP-I riboswitch aptamer
Rfam family: c-di-GMP-I riboswitch aptamer
About the family: GEMM was predicted in a large-scale screen for bacterial structured RNA regulatory elements. Genes associated with GEMM are involved in a diverse array of functions, including chemotaxis regulation, signal transduction, secretion and chitin.
Source: Rfam by way of RNAcentral